AUGAGUCUUAUAUCACAUCGUGUACUUAGUGCUCAGAUUGUCAAAGCAAAGAAGGAUCAACGUCACAACCUCUUCCACAUCAAAGGAGUCGUCAAGGAGCGUUCCGUUCGCAUAAUCAUUGAUGGAGGGAGUUGUAACAAUUUAGCAAGCAUUGACAUGGUGGAGAAGCUCUCCCUACCUUCGCGACAACAUCCACAACCAUACUACAUUCAAUGGUUUAAUGAUGGUGGAAAGGUAAAGGUAACACGCAUGGUGAGAGUUCCUUUUUCUUUAGGUUCAUACCUUGACACUAUUGAUUGCGAUAUUGUGCCUAUGCAAGCUUGUUCUAUGUUACUAGGAAGGCCAUGGCAAUAUGAUAGACAAUGUUUACAUGAUGGUAGAACUAAUCAGUACACUCUCACACAUAAAGGAAAGCAAAUCAUUCUACACCCUAUGUCUCCUGAGCAAAUUUUAAAAGAUGAUCUUGCUAGGGCUAGUAGAAACACAAAUAUUGAGCGUACUCAAUCUGAAAAUCAGAAAGUUGUUGAUGAGUUAGAACAAUUUAAUAAGCUGCACAAAUCUGAUCCUAGCACAUCUAAAGAAAUUAAAUUGAAAGGUGUAUCUUUCUUAGCUACACGUGCUGAAAUUUUUGAGUUAGAUGCUCAUACUGAUGAAUGUUAUGCUCUUAUUUGCAAAGAAGUUUUGUUUUCAUUUGAGGAUAUGCCUUCUUCUUUGCCUCCUGUUGUCGCUAACCUUUUGCAGGAGUAUCAUGAUGUUUUUCCAAAGGAAGUACCACUGGGGCUGCCACCUAUGAGAGGAAUUGAACAUCAAAUUGACUUGAUCCCUGGCGCCUCAUUACCCAACCGUGCGCCGUACCGGACUAAUCCAGAGGAGACUAAGGAGAUUCAGCGACAAGUUCACGAACUACUUGAAAAAGGUUACAUUCGUGAAUCCCUUAGUCCAUGUGCUAUACCAAUUUUACUUGUUCCUAAAAAAGACGGUAUUUCGCGUAUGUGUAUUGAUUGUAGAGCCAUCAAUAAUAUUACAAUUCGAUAUCGUCAUCCUAUUCCUAGAUUGGAUGACAUGCUUGAUGAACUCAGUGGCUCAGUUGUGUUUUCUAAAGUGGACUUGCGUAGUGGCUACCAUCAAAUUCGUAUGAAACUAGGUGAUGAAUGGAAAACUGCUUUCAAAACUAAAUUUGGUUUAUAUGAGUGGUUAGUUAUGCCUUUUGGAUUGACUAAUGCACCUAGUACUUUCAUGAGACUAAUGAAUGAAGUUUUGCGAGCUUUUAUUGAACGAUUUGUGGUAGUAUAUUUCGAUGAUAUUUUGAUUUAUAGCAAGUCACUAGAGGAACACUUAGACCAUUUGCGUGCUGUUUUUUCUGCUCUGCGUGCUGCACGUUUAUUUGGUAAUAUCGAGAAGUGCACUUUUUGCACGGAUCGAGUCGCUUUUCUUGGCUAUGUUGUGACAGCGCAGGGAAUUGAAGUUGAUAAAGCCAAGGUUGAAGCGAUCCAGAGUUGGCUGACCCCUAACUCGGUCACACAUGUAUGA
This 1530-nucleotide ribosomal RNA is filed under the name Triticum aestivum (bread wheat). RNAcentral describes it as "partial small subunit ribosomal RNA". The record is from RNAcentral. Lineage: Eukaryota; Viridiplantae; Streptophyta; Magnoliopsida; Poales; Poaceae.